This is a long non-coding RNA of Carassius carassius (crucian carp), 795 nucleotides long. RefSeq lists it as uncharacterized. The transcript has 3 exons. The record is from RefSeq and is a predicted model, not a curated record. Lineage: Eukaryota; Metazoa; Chordata; Actinopteri; Cypriniformes; Cyprinidae.
CAAUAAUCUGGGGAAGAAAAAAUGAUUACACUCUGUAUUCCAGUGCUAAUAUAUGAACAUCAUGAAACCAAGACAUUUGCAGCAGAUGCAUAAUGACCUCAGAUAUUAAUUUUUAUUAUCUACUCAAUAUAUUUAUUUUUAGAUUUUUAUUGGUUAAUUCUUAAAACGGGGGGAAAAAAUUCUGCCAAAGGUGAAAACUAUUGUUUUUCUUAGCCGCUGACAGAUAUUUGUUCUUGUUUUAAACAUUAACUCAUUUAUAUUUCAGUAAAUGCUUCUCGAUUUAAGGAUGUUCAGAUAUUUGAGCUGGAAAACAAGAGGAAGAGCAUCAUUCUCUGCGGUGAAGAAGAACACCAUGACCUUCAUCAAAUUAAAAUCUCUCGUAUAAAUCGUGUAAGCUACUACUAAAUAUUGUAGAAACUUAAUUUUCUGUAAAGUUGAUUUGCAAUGAUUUGUAAAGCAAAAAGCACUAUAAAUUAAAUGAAAACAGUACUAAAAUUAAAGUAGUAACUUUUUACAAAAAAGUUGAAAUGCUAAAAUUAUUAAAACUGACAUAAACAUAAAGGCUAAAAAAAUAAAUUAAUAAAACUAAUUCCUAAACCUCAAACUGCAACCAUGAGGCUAAAAGCUAUGCUAUGUGUGACUCUGAGUAAGUGCUGUAACAGUUUAUAAAGACCUUGAUGUUGUUUGGACGCCAGAACCGUGUGUGUGUGUGUGUGUGUGUGUGUGUGUGUUGAACAGUCCACCUGGAUGUUCCCGUGUUUGGCUCCUGGGAUGAUCUGAAUCCUCUCAAAGCCC